This 220-nucleotide non-coding RNA is filed under the name Clostridium sp. RNAcentral describes it as "T-box sequence". It matches the Rfam family "T-box leader". From Rfam's summary of the family: Uncharged tRNA acts as the effector for transcription antitermination of genes in the T-box leader family. T-boxes are found upstream of many aminoacyl-tRNA synthetase genes and some amino acid biosynthetic genes usually in Gram-positive bacteria. Lineage: Bacteria; Bacillati; Bacillota; Clostridia; Eubacteriales; Clostridiaceae. The record is from RNAcentral.
AUAAAAACGAAGAAAAAGAAGAGUACAUUUGAACUAUUUGUAGAGAAAAGAAGUCGUGGGCUGAAAGCUUCUUAAAUAAAGGCAAAUGGAAGGUAGCUUUUGAGUUGAUAAUCUGAAAUAGUAGUAAGAUUAUUCGUAAUACUGCGUUAAAGUAAAUUGAGAAAUUAUCAAAAAGAUAAUAAUUAAGGUGGUACCGUGAGAUAUAGAACUCGCCCUUAUG